AGAGUUUGAUCCUGGCUCAGGAUAAACGCUGGCGGCGUGCCUAACACAUGCAAGUCGAACGCCCUGCGCAAGCAGGGAGUGGCGGACGGGUGAGGAACACGUGGGUUAUCUACCACCAGGUGAGGAAUACCGGCGAGAAAUCGCCGACAAUACCGCAUACGCUUCGCAAGAAGCAAAGCUCGCAAGGGCGCCUGAUGAUG
This 200-nucleotide ribosomal RNA is filed under the name uncultured bacterium. Its description in RNAcentral is "partial 16S ribosomal RNA". It matches the Rfam family "Bacterial small subunit ribosomal RNA", at positions 8 to 227 of the family's 1533-position model. The record is from RNAcentral.